CGAAAGCCUGACGGAGCAACGCCGCGUGAGGGAUGAAGGCCUCUGGGCUGUAAACCUCUUUUCUCAAGGAAGAAGAUCUGACGGUACUUGAGGAAUAAGCCACGGCUAAUUCCGUGCCAGCAGCCGCGGUAAUACGGGAGUGGCAAGCGUUAUCCGGAAUCAUUGGGCGUAAAGCGUCCGCAGGCGGCCUUGAAAGUCUGUCGUUAAAGCGUGGAGCUUAACUCCAUUUCAGCGAUGGAAACUACAAGGCUUGAGUGUGGUAGGGGCAGAGGGAAUUCCCGGUGUAGCGGUGAAAUGCGCAGAUAUCGGGAAGAACACCAGAGGCGAAGGCGCUCUGCUGGGCCAUAACUGACGCUCAUGGACGAAAGCCAGGGGAGCG
This 379-nucleotide ribosomal RNA is filed under the name uncultured cyanobacterium. RNAcentral's name for it is "bacterial SSU rRNA". It matches the Rfam family "Bacterial small subunit ribosomal RNA", at positions 376 to 770 of the family's 1533-position model. The record is from RNAcentral. Lineage: Bacteria; Bacillati; Cyanobacteriota.